Molecule: ribosomal RNA, 219 nt
Filed under: uncultured fungus
Lineage: Eukaryota; Fungi
Description: partial small subunit ribosomal RNA
Rfam family: Eukaryotic small subunit ribosomal RNA (bases 102-219)
Source: RNAcentral
GGCCGGGCGCGGCGGUCCACCGUUUGGUGCGCACUGCCGGCAGCCUGGUCUUGCCUCCCGUGCGUGCGCGCCGGCCUUCGCGGGCAUGGCGUGUGCGGGGCGGGACGUUUACCUUGAGAAAAUUAGAGUGUUCAAAGCAGGCGCCUCAGCCUGAAUAGAUUAGCAUGGAAUAAUGGAAUAGGACGGUGGUUCUAUUUUGUUGGUUCUAGGACCGCAGUA